This is a long non-coding RNA of Harpia harpyja (harpy eagle), 631 nucleotides long. RefSeq lists it as uncharacterized. The transcript is spliced from 5 exons. The record is from RefSeq and is a predicted model, not a curated record. NCBI's taxonomy places the organism in Eukaryota, Metazoa, Chordata, Aves, Accipitriformes, Accipitridae.
GAGACAACCAGUGGGUCUCCCAGUGCUACGCAGAUUAGCUGAAGCAUGGCAAGGAAUUGGAGUCAGGUAUCACAAACCAGAGGGUCAUCACUUAAGGUUGAAAACGCCUGUCACUCAGGAAAAGAAGGCGACCUGCUCCCUCUAUAGGCUUUCCUGGUUGUUGCUAUCAUGAACCGACCAUCCAGGCGAUCAGAGCUGCAUGCAGGCUUUGAAGGCUGGCAAAAACUCUGAAUGGAAGAGAUACCAUCUGAGCCAGCAGUUCCGUGAAGCCAGGCACGCUUCCUCGCCAGUGCCUGCUAUCCCGACGGCUUUUCUCUCCUCCCCGUCCCAGGGCCCUGCCUCCUCAGCUGCACCAGCACUGCGGUUUCUGGCAUCGUUCUGCAGGCCUUUCUGGCAGCUCAAGCUCCAUUCUUGGGGGGAAAGGACAGAAAACACUCCUUCCAGGACUGGUUCAACACAGGAUUAGGAUCCGCUUGCACACUGCCCAGAUGCAAUCCCACAUAUAUCUAUAGGCAGGCACAGGUCUGCUUGCGAGACCUCAGAGCACAGCCUUUGCAUUGUGCACCUGGCGGAUUCACUCUGGUUCCCACACUCAACCAAGUCUACUGCUGUGGCCUCACACACCUCUCUG